GAAGGCAUCCGUAUCCGGUGGUGCGGCUGGACUUCAAAUCCAGUAGGGGGCGUCAGACGCUCCUUGGUAGGUUCGACUCCUGCUGCCUUCCGCCA
This 95-nucleotide transfer RNA is filed under the name Burkholderia stagnalis. RNAcentral's name for it is "tRNA-Sec". It matches the Rfam family "Selenocysteine transfer RNA". Lineage: Bacteria; Pseudomonadati; Pseudomonadota; Betaproteobacteria; Burkholderiales; Burkholderiaceae. The record is from RNAcentral.